RNAcentral lists this ribosomal RNA (207 nucleotides) under uncultured bacterium. RNAcentral describes it as "partial 16S ribosomal RNA". It matches the Rfam family "Bacterial small subunit ribosomal RNA", at positions 568 to 774 of the family's 1533-position model. The record is from RNAcentral.
CUCGUAGGCGGUUCGUCGCGUCCGGUGUGAAAGUCCAUCGCUUAACGGUGGAUCCGCGCCGGGUACGGGCGGGCUUGAGUGCGGUAGGGGAGACUGGAAUUCCCGGUGUAACGGUGGAAUGUGUAGAUAUCGGGAAGAACACCGAUGGCGAAGGCAGGUCUCUGGGCCGUCACUGACGCUGAGGAGCGAAAGCGUGGGGAGCGAACA